AUGUUCGAGAAUUUCAGAAAAUGUUUCGCUUUUAAAAAAGUUUCAAUGUUUCAAAAAAAGUUUCCUGUUAUGAUUUUUUUUCUAAUAUUUCAAAAACAAUCGCAUAUAGAAAAUGUUCAGGAUUUUGAACAUUGUUUCAAAAGAAUUCAUGAUUUUUCCAAAAAGUUUGAAUUUUCAAGUUUAUUCGAGUUGUUCAAACAAUUGUUAGAUUUUCAAACAUUACUCGCUUUUCAAAAAAUUCCAGGAAAAAGACACCCCAAUUCUGCGUUUAAUUUUGUUCUUAAACUUAUGCACUCCUAUUUAGUCACAAACGCUUGUUAG
RNAcentral lists this ribosomal RNA (321 nucleotides) under Triticum aestivum (bread wheat). Its description in RNAcentral is "partial small subunit ribosomal RNA". Lineage: Eukaryota; Viridiplantae; Streptophyta; Magnoliopsida; Poales; Poaceae. The record is from RNAcentral.